AUCAACUUUCGAUGGUAGGAUAGAGGCCUACCAUGGCGGUAACGGGUAACGGGGUGUUAGGGCACGACACCGGAGAGGGAGCCUGAGAAACGGCUACCACAUCCAAGGAAGGCAGCAGGUGCGCAAAUUACCCAAUCCCGACAUGGGGAGGUAGUGACAAUAAAUAACAAUACAGGGUUCUUUUGGAUCUUGUAAUUGGAAUGAGUACAAUUUAAAUCUCUUAACGAGGAACAAUUGGAGGGCAAGUCUGGUGCCAGCAGCCGCGGUAAUUCCAGCUCCAAUAGCGUAUAUUAAAGUUGUUGCAGUUAAAAAGCUCGUAGUUGAAUUUCGGGAUCAAGGAAUCGGUCAUGCCUUGGUAUGUACUGGUUUUAUUGGUUCUCACCUUCUAAAGAAUCAUAAUGUCAUUUAUUUGAUGUUAUGGGGAAUUAGGACUGUUACCUUGAAAAAAUUAGAGUGUUUAAAGCAAGCUUACGCUUGAAUACAUUAGCAUGGAAUAAUGAAAUAGGACAUCAGAUUCUAUUUUGUUGGUUUCUAGGAUCGAUGUAAUGAUUAAUAGGGAUAGUUGGGGGCAUUAGUAUUCAAUUGUCAGAGGUGAAAUUCUUGGAUUUAUUGAAGACUAACUACUGCGAAAGCAUUUGCCAAGGAUGUUUUCAUUAAUCAAGAACGAAAGUUAGGGGAUCGAAGACGAUCAGAUACCGUCGUAGUCUUAACCAUAAACUAUGCCGACUAGGGAUCGGAUGAUGUUUAUUUUUUAGUGACUCAUUCGGCACCUUACGGGAAACCAAAGUGUUUGGGUUC
This 798-nucleotide ribosomal RNA is filed under the name uncultured Glomus. RNAcentral describes it as "SSU rRNA". It matches the Rfam family "Eukaryotic small subunit ribosomal RNA", at positions 314 to 1114 of the family's 1831-position model. Lineage: Eukaryota; Fungi; Glomeromycota; Glomeromycetes; Glomerales; Glomeraceae. The record is from RNAcentral.